GCCCAGAUAGCUCAGGCAGUACAGCAUGGGACUCUUAAUCACAGGGUUGUGAGUUCAAGCCCCACAUUGGGUU
Cricetulus griseus (Chinese hamster) is the source of this 73-nucleotide non-coding RNA. The record is from Rfam. NCBI's taxonomy places the organism in Eukaryota, Metazoa, Chordata, Mammalia, Rodentia, Cricetidae.